UUUCGAAAGCGACGAAAUCGCGUAAAGGAAAACAAUUACUUACUAUUUACUAAAUUGGGAUCGCCGAACUCGAAAAAAAAGUGAUAUUUUAUCAUUUUACAUUCCAAAAGUCACGAAUACGACAUAUUUAUAAUUGUCGCGAAUGAAACACAGAUAAUAUACAUACCCAUAAUAUAUUGUAAUGGACAUCGUUGGCCGGAUACGGACUACUGCAUAAUAUCCGAUAGACGAUGACAAUAAUAGAAUUUGUCAAUUUGAUAUUAAAUUAUGUUCAAUACCAAUGCCAGACAGACAACGAACGGGCAGUCGGUUUCUGUAGUAGGCACUUGCGUGCGGUGUACUUACGUGUUUCCGGACAACGCACACGCCGUAACUGAUAUCCGUACGUUGGCCCACUGGCAAGAAUAGGACCAAAACGUAUAUAAAUACAAUAUACAUAUACAUGGAAAAAUUUGACGGCGAGGAAUAAACGUUGUAAAAAUGCAGC
Aphis gossypii (cotton aphid) is the source of this 487-nucleotide long non-coding RNA. RefSeq lists it as uncharacterized. Lineage: Eukaryota; Metazoa; Arthropoda; Insecta; Hemiptera; Aphididae. The record is from RefSeq and is a predicted model, not a curated record. The transcript has 3 exons.